Molecule: ribosomal RNA, 460 nt
Filed under: uncultured bacterium
Lineage: Bacteria
Description: partial 16S ribosomal RNA
Rfam family: Bacterial small subunit ribosomal RNA
Source: RNAcentral
CCUACGGGAGGCAGCAGUGAGGAAUAUUGGUCAAUGGGCGCGAGCCUGAACCAGCAAAGCAGCGUGAAGGAUGACUGCCCUACGGGUUGUAAACUUCUUUUAUAAAGGAAUAAAGUGAGGCACGUGUGCCUUUUUGUAUGUACUGUAUGAAUAAGGAUCGGCUAACUCCGUGCCCGCAGCCGCGGUAAUACGGAGGAUCCGAGCGUUAUCCGGAUUUAUUGGGUUUAAAGGGAGCGUAGAUGGGUUGUUAAGUCAGUGGUGAAAGGUUGCGGCUCAACCGUAAAAUUGCAAUUGAUACUGGCAGUCUUGAGUACAGUUGAGGUACGUGGAAUUCGUUGUGUAGCGGUGAAAUGCUUAGAUAUCACGAAGAACUCCGAUUGCGAAGGCAGCUUACUAAACUGCCACUGACAUUGAUGCUCGAAAGUGUGGGGAUCAAACAGGAUUAGAUACCCCUGUAGUC